Silurus meridionalis is the source of this 1875-nucleotide long non-coding RNA. RefSeq lists it as uncharacterized. The record is from RefSeq and is a predicted model, not a curated record. NCBI's taxonomy places the organism in Eukaryota, Metazoa, Chordata, Actinopteri, Siluriformes, Siluridae. The transcript is spliced from 3 exons.
ACUGAGUAGUGUGUUUUGUUCGCUAUCACCCAUCAGCCAUGUGCACAACCUGCUUUCUCUUUGGGUAUCCCGGCGCGCGCUCGCUUCUCUGCGUUGACUGCGAGAACGCGCGCGCGCAGUGGUGCGCGCUGUCCGUCGCGCGCGCUGAGGAGGAAAGUCCUGACCUCAGCCCAGAGUCCGUAGGAAUUUGAAAAGAAUAAAAGUAAGAGCUGCUUCUUACAUUUUUGACGUCGUUGCACCGAACCAGGCUCGAACCCUGAGCACUCGUGACUGUUAACUCGAGCUGAACGCUGUCUGGGUUCUGGGUCCGACCCGCACGCGCAGGGAUCCCAGCGCCUCUGAUUGGAGUGAGCAUGAAGAUCCGGAUUAAUGAUCGGUUUCUUGCAUGAACCUGGUAAAUGCUAGGAGUUACAGUAUAUGGGUGAGGAUUGGGUUCUCGGGUAAUACAGUAAGUGAGAUAAGGCGGGGGAAUCACAUGCCUGUCCAGUGUAAGCAAAGUGGUGGUGGUGGAGGUGGAGGUGGUUGAGUAGACCAUUCCUGCCUCACAGCUCCAGAUUCCCUGACUUAAAUCUAAGCUUGGGUUACUGUAUGUGCAAAGUUUUAUAUGUUUCGAUGAUAUCCACUGUUUCCUGGAACCACUGCGACCCUGAACAGAUUACAGCAGAACAAACAAAAAAGUAUAUUAAUAUGAAUACCACUAAUAACACUAAUAUUACUCAUCAUAAUCCUUAUCAUCAACAUCCUGAUCAUUUUUUUUUACAAUGAUAUUGUUUAUUAUUGCAAGAUUUUGAAGCUUCCGUUUUAUUCGUUAACCUGUUUGACUUUUUGUGGUGAAUCAGCUAACGUAUUACUUGUGAAUUCCAAAUAUUCGCUCUGUUCUAACAUAUUGUUCGCUUUUGAUUUUCAGCCACACAAAAGCCUCAGUACUGGUAUUCAUUCUUUCUUAGUUAUCAAGUUGAGUCACUUCAGCAAUAGACUCCUCCUGUAAAAUCUACACUAACCAACUCCAGAGGGACAUUAGCAAUGUUGCAGCUUUUAUGACCGGGAAAUUUGUCAGUUACUUAUUCUGCAGUCGUAAUUAAGGAAUGGGAAGAAAAACGUUGAAGUCAGCAUGUGGGGAAAGUCAACACAACAAAAAAUUGUCUGCUUGUCUGCUUACUUACAGACUUCACCAUAUUUCUGCCUAUAAUGGAUGGUAAUGUGACAAAUGUCCUUUUGCACAAUUUAAUUAAACAUUUUCAUGCCAACAAGCUCUUGCUCUAUUUGUAUAAUUGAAAUAUGAAAAUCUUAUAUUGUAGAUCAUUUACAGAUUUUUCUGAUUUCUUACAUAAAUUUGUGGACUCUCAGUCUCAGCAUAUACAUUUAUUAAUUAAUAAAUAAGAAUGGCAAGAGAACAUGUGAUAAAUAAUUUGUGCCAUGCAUUUUUUGGGGUUUGGGAGAAAUGUUAGCGAAUAAUGUUUUAUUAUUGAUGUUAGUUGCUAAACUACACAAAUAUAUUUAAAACCUUAAAUAAUUUCAUUUGACAAGUUAGUAAUAAGCCUCACAGCUCCAGCGUUUCCGGUGUGAUGAGCUCAUGUUACUAUAUGUAUGAAGUUUCACAUGUUCUUUCCAUUUGCAGGUCAUUGCAGGUUUCCUCAGGGUUGUGUACUUUUCUCCCACCUCCCAAAUGACUAUGUUUAACUGCUCCUUAGGGUGAAUGUGUGUGCAGGGAGAUGUGUGUUGGACUGUUGGCUCAUCAAAAGUGUAUUCGUAUCUCACUCCCUAUAUUCCUCUGAUAAAUUCUUGAUCUAAAGCAACUCUGUUCAGGAUGAAGUGAUAUUGAAGAAGAACGAAUAAAUCUGGUAAAUGAUGCUCUCACUCUGUGAUAUAGAUACA